This 71-nucleotide transfer RNA is filed under the name Bradysia sp. XQM-2020. Its description in RNAcentral is "tRNA-Val". The record is from RNAcentral. Lineage: Eukaryota; Metazoa; Arthropoda; Insecta; Diptera; Sciaridae.
CAAUUUGAAUCUUUAUAGGUAAGAGUUUCAUUUACAUUGAAAAUUAAUUUGUGCAAAUCAAAUUAAAUUGA